This 497-nucleotide ribosomal RNA is filed under the name uncultured bacterium. Its description in RNAcentral is "partial 16S ribosomal RNA". It matches the Rfam family "Bacterial small subunit ribosomal RNA", at positions 28 to 507 of the family's 1533-position model. The record is from RNAcentral.
GACGAACGCUGGCGGCGUGCCUAAUACAUGCAAGUUGAGCGCUGUAGGUUGGUACUUGUACCAACUGGAUGAGCAGCGAACGGGUGAGUAACGCGUGGGGAAUCUGCCUUUGAGCGGGGGACAACAUUUGGAAACGAAUGCUAAUACCGCAUAAAAACUUUAAACACAAGUUUUAAGUUUGAAAGAUGCAAUUGCAUCACUCAAAGAUGAUCCCGCGUUGUAUUAGCUAGUUGGUGAGGUAAAGGCUCACCAAGGCGAUGAUACAUAGCCGACCUGAGAGGGUGAUCGGCCACAUUGGGACUGAGACACGGCCCAAACUCCUACGGGAGGCAGCAGUAGGGAAUCUUCGGAAAUGGACGAAAGUCUGACCGAGCAACGCCGCGCGAGUGAAGAAGGGUUUCGGAUCGUAAAACUCUGUUGGUAGAGAAGAACGUUGGUGAGAGUGGAAAGCUCAUCAAGUGACGGUAACUACCCAGAAAGGGACGGCUAACUACGUG